Gigantopelta aegis is the source of this 190-nucleotide long non-coding RNA. RefSeq lists it as uncharacterized. Lineage: Eukaryota; Metazoa; Mollusca; Gastropoda; Neomphalida; Peltospiridae. The record is from RefSeq and is a predicted model, not a curated record. The transcript has 3 exons.
CUCGCCAGAUUCCACAAGGCCGAUACAAAUGGCGAUGCAAAAUUGGACCUCGUUGAAUUCAAACAAUUCCAUUUCGACAACAAAGAGGAAUUUCUGGAAGCCAUGAAGGAUGAUGCAGAUUCUUCGUGACGGAUGACGUCAUCACCUGUUCAAUGCGAGGGUGAAGGGAUUUGUUUAAUAAAAACUUAAA